This 3963-nucleotide long non-coding RNA is filed under the name Canis lupus familiaris (dog). Its description in RNAcentral is "lncRNA (ENSCAFG00000050269.1)". The record is from RNAcentral. Lineage: Eukaryota; Metazoa; Chordata; Mammalia; Carnivora; Canidae.
UUUUUUUUUUUUUUUUUAAAUUUUUUAUUUAUUUAUGAUAGUCACACAGAGAGAGAGAGAGAGAGAGAGAGAGAGGCAGAGACACAGGCAGAGGGAGAAGCAGGCUCCAUGCACCUGGAGCCCGAUGUGGGAUUCGAUCCCGGGUCUCCAGGAUCGCGCCCUGGGCCAAAGGCAGGCGCCAAACCGCUGCGCCACCCAGGGAUCCCCCACUCAAUUCUAUUACAUCAUACUGUUCAUACGCCUUGAGAACCACCACAUGCAAUUCUACUCUGUACUUUGCUACUUCCUUGGUUACGACCACCAGGAGCUUGGGGAAACGGCAUUCCCAGUCUCAGCAUUGUUACCACGGGACUCACACUGGCCGGGACUCACACUGGCCAGGCCGGUAGUUUCCUCUCAGAAUGAUGUCAUUGUCAACUACUGUGUUCAUCCUUCCUUCUACUCUUUUCAGUUUAACUGCUUCCAUUAACUAGAAGACCUAUGAAUUUUAUACAAGGUAGUACAGAGGUAAAAAAAACUCCUUCCUGCCCAAGGAAAAAAGCUAGAAAAAUGACUCAAAAAUCAAACUACUGUUUAGAAUAACAGAACAAAUGAAACAACAAAAAUGGUGGAUUAUGGAAUAGCUAAAGUCUAAUAUGUGAAAUAUGUGGAAAUACCUGGUUUUGGUAAAAUAGAAACAUCUAACUGUGAGAACUAGCCUACUGAUGAAAAACUGAAGGAAUGGACUAAAAGAGACAAGUUAUGUGUCAUUUAUCAUCUCCAUUAAUACUUCAUAUAGCAAUUACAAAACACAAGCUCUAUAAAGGACUCCUUUUAAUUGUUAUUUUUUUUGAAGUAUUAUCUUCUCUCCAUUGCUACUAUUUCAAAAAGAAAGUAAAGAGUUAAGUAUCUACAGACUAGGGAAGUAAAUUUACAGUACAGAUUCAACUACUUAUUCACUGGCAUAAUAGACAGGAAAUACAUGUUGAAAAAAGUUCUAUAAAUAGAAAAUAAAUUGAAACUGGAUUUAAAAAAAAUCCAUUCUAAGAUAUCCUUUUUAUCUCUCUCUUUUUAAUGUAAAAUGUACCCUUAACCAUUCCAUAUACCCUCAACCACUGAGUCUAAACACUACAGUAACAAGAGAGAUUUUCAAGGUAGCUGAAUAAAGUUAAAACUCUGCAUCCAUUAUAUCCUUAGCUUAUUCCUUUAUCCUUCAGGAAAAGAUUUUUUUUUUUUUUUUUUUAAAGCCAGAAAGUAUCAAACAAGCUAACAGAUGGCAAGUGAAUUGAAUCAAGUCUAAUUUGGGUUGAAUUCAAGUUUGAUUAUCUGGAGACAUGAAAGCAAUUUACCCAUAUUAGCAUCAAAUGCCUAAUACUGAUAAAAAUGUUAUGGAAGUAUGAUCCAACAGAGAGCUUUGUGGACUGGGAAUUAAGAGCAUCCCACCCCACUCCACCCCACCCUGGCUAACUAGUUUUAAAACUUUGGCAAAGUCACAGAUUCUUUCCACCUCAGGAUCUUUUAUCUGUCUAAUGGGAUGACAAAUCCUCCCUUGUAGGAGAUGCUGAGGAUAAAGUGGAAUCUCUGAAAAAAAUUCUCCUUUUCUGGGUGUGAGGGUAGAAAAAUGGACCCACAAAACAUUCACAUUCAAAUCCCGGGAACUUGUGAAAAUGUUACCUUAUAGAGCAAAAGAGGCUUUGCAGAUGUGAUUAAAUUAGAAUCUUAAGAGAUUAUCCAGGAUUAUCUGAGUGGGCUCAAUGUAAUAAGUAACAAGCGUCCUCAAAAGUGAAGGGGUGGUUGUACGAGGUCAGAGUCUGAGUGACUUGACCGGCCACUGCUGACUCUGAAGAUGGGAAUGGGCCACUACGGCAAGGGCUAUGGGAACCCUCUAGACGCUGGAAAAGGCAAGCAAAAGAAUUCUCCCUUGGAGCCUUCAGAAGGAAUGUAGCCCUGCCAAAACCUUGAUUCUAAUGUCAGAUUUCUGACCUCCAGAAAUUUAAGAUAGUAAAUCUGUGCCAUUUUAAACAACUUAGUCUCCUGCAAUUUCUUACAACAGCAAUAGGAGACUAAUACAUGGAGUUCUAUCUCAGCUUUGACACUUACCCUGGCUAUGUAUCCUUAAACCAGUUACUUAUGUUUCUGAACUUUAGUUUCCUUAUCUGUAAAAUGGAGAUUAAAAUGAGCAGGUUGCUAAUAUAGAUACAAUAUUAAUUUAAUAUGUAAUUAUAUUAAUAUAUACAUUUAUAUAUCAAAUAUAUGUUUAAUAUAGAUAUCAAAUAGGUUAGGUGCUACUGAUUUUUUUAAAAGUUAGCUUUUUUAUUUUUAACCACUUAUACUACCCUAGAGUGAUAUAAUGUAAUUAUUUUUACAAAACCUACAGGUAACUCAUAGUUUUCAUAUACAGAAGAAAUGUGCAUUAAAGUACCCAGUUAUCACUAAAGUUAUUGGUAAUAUGUUGAUUUGGAAGUCACUGGUUCAUUCUCAUAGACUGUAAGACUGAAGUUCUUUUAGAUCUCAAAGUUUCCAAAGGGAAGAAGCAAUAUGUGUGUAAAAUGUUUUAAGCCCAGCUUCUGUAACCAGUGUAAAGUCAACAUUGCAUUGAUUUCAUCCUUAGGUUAUUUCUUUAUCCUUUAGGAAAAGGUGAUUUUUAUGCCCCCCCCCCCCCAAAAAAAGUUCUUUUUUAGUAUUUAAAAUUUAAAGACAGGAAAUUUUAAGAAGACAGAUCACUAUAGUCCCACCUCUUUAUUUUACUACUAAAAAAAGAGUAAUUCACAAGGAAGUUAAAUGAUUUGGUUCAUCAUCAAUAUGCAGCCAGUUCACAUCAGAGAUGGAUUUUCUACUUCCUGGGUAGAAAGCUUUUGGGUUUUCUACUUCCAAAUCUGUGCUAUUUUGUUAAAGUAGGAAUCCGUAAUAUGGCCCAUGGGUCACAUCUAGACAGCCAACUGUCUUUUUGUAAAUAAAGUUUUAUUGGACACAGGAAUACCCAUAAUUUGCUUAUUUUCUACAGCUGCUUUCCUUCUACAAAGGCACAACUGAAUAGUGGCAAUAGACUGGGCCACCAAAAGAGGUGUUAGGUGGCUGAGCUAGGAGUUUAGGUCCGGCUUCUCAGUCUCUAAAAUUCUCUUUUUGUUACUUUUCCUACAUUUUAUAACAUUUUCAGAUUCAAUUAUCUCUUUUGUAUACUUCAUAUAGCACUAUGUGUCUCAGUGGAGUACAUGUUCAAAAAUGUUGGAUUCAAAGCUGUUUUUGAGAAAAUUAAAAACUGGUCUUCCUUCAGGUACUUUCCAUGGGGGAAGUGGAGUAGCCCUAAGUUUGGACAAAAAGAUAAAUCAGGCUCCUAAAGAUUUUACAAAUGGCAAUUUUGCCAUUUAUACAAGUCUGUCCCCUAGAUUGUGUGGAUUUUCCCUGGACUCGACAAUACAGAAUACAGGCAUAUCUGAGACUCAUGAGAGAAUCUGAUUAAAAAUUGAUUAAAUACAGUUUAUUCUAAAAGUCUGCUUGCUGCUAUCUGACAGAAGUCAAAUAUUUUAGUUACCUGUUCCUUUCAGUAAACUCUCAACUUGUGUGCAGAUCAUCAAACAAACCAGGGCAAUGUUAUCCCAAAAGUCCUGUGAAAAGGUCAUCAAUGAAUUCAAAUUUAAUGUUAUACAUCUGGCUUUUUAUAGAAAAUAAUAUGAGAAACAUCUAAUCAGAGAACAUUUUUAGUUCUUUUACAAAGUACCAAACUGAGUUAUUUCAGUUGUCCCAGUGUCCCUUCAUCUAAUAUCUCCUAGAGUUUAGUGCUAGCAAAAAUAAUUUUUUUCAUUCAUCAGCAAUGAGAUACUUUUUUUUUUUUAAUGAGACACUUUUUAAAGGAACACAUAAACUUGGAAUCUGGGGUGGGGGAGGAAUUCAUUUGUUGUUUAAAGGAAACUGCGAGAGAUCAUAAUUCCCUAUGCUGAAUGUAUUUCUGAAGUAUACAUUUGCAGUAAAAAAAAAAAAAAAAAA